UUCCGGUUGAUCCUGCCGGACCCCACUGCUAUCGGGAUAGGACUAAGACAUGCUAGUCGUGUGCCUCAGCCAAAACGAGGCACGGCGCACAGCUCAGUAACACGUGGCUAACCUGCCCUUUAGGACGAGAAUAACCCCGGGAAACUGGGGCUAAUGCUCGAUAGGUGAAGAACUCUGGAAUGAGUCUUCACUUAAAAGAGUCUGCGUUAUGCUCGUAGAUUUCGCUUAAGGAUGGGGCCGCGACCGAUCAGGUUGUUGGUGAGGUAAUGGCUCACCAAGCCUUUUACCGGUGCGGGCCGUGAGAGCGGGAGCCCGGAGAUGGGCACUGAGACAAGGGCCCAGGCCCUACGGGGCGCAGCAGUCGCGAAAACUUUGCAAUACACGAAAGUGUGACAGGGCUAUCCCGAGUGCCAUCCGCUGAGGAAGGCUUUUACCCAGUCUAGAACGCUGGGGGAAUAAGGAGAGGGCAAGUCUGGUGUCAGCCGCCGCGGUAAUACCAGCUCUCCGAGUGGUGUGGAUGUUUAUUGGGCCUAAAGCAUCCGUAGCUGGCUAAGUUAGUCCCCUGUUAAAUCCAACGAAUUAAUCGUUGGAUCGCGGGGGAUACUGCUUGGCUAGGGGACGAGAGAGGCAGACGGUAUUUCCGGGGUAGGGGUGAAAUCCUAUAAUCCCGGGAAGACCACCAGUGGCGAAGGCUGUCUGCUAGAACGCGCCCGACGGUGAGGGAUGAAAGCUGGGGGAGCGAACCGGAUUAGAUACCCGGGUAGUCCCAGCUGUAAACGAUGCAGGCUAGGUGUUUGGAUGGCCACGUGCCGUUCUAGUGCCGCAGGGAAGCUGUUAAGCCUGCCGCCUGGGGAGUACGAUCGCAAGAUUGAAACUUAAAGGAAUUGGCGGGGGAGCACCACAAGGGGUGAAGCUUGCGGUUUAAUUGGAGUCAACGCCGGG
This 942-nucleotide ribosomal RNA is filed under the name archaeon enrichment culture clone C4-26C-A. RNAcentral's name for it is "bacterial SSU rRNA". It matches the Rfam family "Archaeal small subunit ribosomal RNA", at positions 1 to 922 of the family's 1478-position model. The record is from RNAcentral.